RNAcentral lists this long non-coding RNA (430 nucleotides) under Corvus moneduloides (New Caledonian crow). Its description in RNAcentral is "lncRNA (ENSCMUG00000016919.1)". Lineage: Eukaryota; Metazoa; Chordata; Aves; Passeriformes; Corvidae. The record is from RNAcentral.
AAUAAGAAUGAACACCAUAUUAAGAAUUCUACUAUUUACCUUCUAGUUGUGAGCCAGCUCCACAUUACAGAGAUUCAACUCAUCCCUUAGCCCCUUGCUGAACGACAACGAAUGCUGAAACUGCCUGCCUUGGACCCUUCUCCAGUGCUUUACUUGAAAAUUCCAUCUUUUGCACUAGUCACCAAAAAAAUGGAUUUUUUGAAAAUGUGCUGGGGAGACAUGAAGACGGGCAGAGAUGUGUGAAGAAACCAGUACAAUUGGAGGUACAACUGGAAAUGAGACAAGUUUACCUCUAAAAACAGAUCUGAUGGAAGACAACACAAGUAUUUAAUUUGAAGCUGCUUCAACAACAACAACAACAAACAACAGCAACAAAACAGCUUUUCUGAACAGGACUGCCUUCAACUGUCAGAUAACUCCAGUACCACUG